Oryza rufipogon (brownbeard rice) is the source of this 215-nucleotide microRNA precursor. It matches the Rfam family "MIR812 microRNA precursor family". The record is from Rfam. Lineage: Eukaryota; Viridiplantae; Streptophyta; Magnoliopsida; Poales; Poaceae.
AAAAAGACAAACCAUGGGUUUCUGUAUCUAACUUUGACUAUUCGUCUUAUAUGAAAUAUUUUUAUAAUUCGUACUUUUCAUUGUUGCAUUGUUGCUAGAUGAUAAAACAUGAUUAAUAUUUUAUACGUGACUUGUCUUUUUAAUUUUUUUCAUAAUUUUUUCAAAUAAGACGGACGGUCAAAUGUUGGGCACGGAAACCAGAGUUUGUCUUUUUU